GAUGAACGCUAGCGGCAGGCCUAAUACAUGCAAGUCGAACGAGAAGCCCUUCGGGGUGGAAAGUGGCGCACGGGUGCGUAACGCGUAUGCAACUUACCUCUUACUGGGGAAUAACUUCGCGAAAGUGGAGCUAACACCGCAUAAUAAACGCUGGGGCAUCCCAAUGUUUUAAAAGGUUACGGUAGGAGAUGGGCAUGCGUCCCAUUAGCUAGUUGGUAGGGUAAUGGCUUACCAAGGCGACGAUGGGUAGGGGAACUGAGAGGUUGAUCCCCCACACUGGUACUGAGAUACGGACCAGACUCCUACGGGAGGCAGCAGUAAGGAAUAUUGGUCAAUGGACGAGAGUCUGAACCAGCCAUGCCGCGUGCAGGAAGAAGGCGUUACGCGUCGUA
RNAcentral lists this ribosomal RNA (392 nucleotides) under uncultured bacterium. Its description in RNAcentral is "bacterial SSU rRNA". It matches the Rfam family "Bacterial small subunit ribosomal RNA", at positions 28 to 427 of the family's 1533-position model. The record is from RNAcentral.